UAGAGUUUGAUCCUGGCUCAGAUUGAACGCUGGCGGCAGGCCUAACACAUGCAAGUCGGACGGUAGCACAGAGGAGCUUGCUCCUCGGGUGACGAGUGGCGGACGGGUGAGUAAUGUCUGGGGAUCUGCCCGAUAGAGGGGGAUAACCACUGGAAACGGUGGCUAAUACCGCAUAACGUCGCAAGACCAAAGAGGGGGACCUUCGGGCCUCUCACUAUCGGAUGAACCCAGAUGGGAUUAGCUAGUAGGCGGGGUAAUGGCCCACCUAGGCGACGAUCCCUAGCUGGUCUGAGAGGAUGACCAGCCACACUGGAACUGAGACACGGUCCAGACUCCUACGGGAGGCAGCAGUGGGGAAUAUUGCACAAUGGGCGCAAGCCUGAUGCAGCCAUGCCGCGUGUAUGAAGAAGGCCUUCGGGUUGUAAAGUACUUUCAGCGGGGAGGAAGGCGAUGUGGUUAAUAACCGCGUCGAUUGACGUUACCCGCAGAAGAAGCACCGGCUAACUCCGUGCCAGCAGCCGCGGUAAUACGGAGGGUGCAAGCGUUAAUCGGAAUUACUGGGCGUAAAGCGCACGCAGGCGGUCUGUUAAGUCAGAUGUGAAAUCCCCGGGCUUAACCUGGGAACUGCAUUUGAAACUGGCAGGCUUGAGUCUCGUAGAGGGGGGUAGAAUUCCAGGUGUAGCGGUGAAAUGCGUAGAGAUCUGGAGGAAUACCGGUGGCGAAGGCGGCCCCCUGGACGAAGACUGACGCUCAGGUGCGAAAGCGUGGGGAGCAAACAGGAUUAGAUAUCCUGGUAGUCCACGCCGUAAACGAUGUCGACUUGGAGGUUGUUCCCUUGAGGAGUGGCUUCCGGAGCUAACGCGUUAAGUCGACCGCCUGGGGAGUACGGCCGCAAGGUUAAAACUCAAAUGAAUUGACGGGGGCCCGCACAAGCGGUGGAGCAUGUGGUUUAAUUCGAUGCAACGCGAAGAACCUUACCUACUCUUGACAUCCAGAGAACUUAGCAGAGAUGCCUUGGUGCCUUCGGGAACUCUGAGACAGGUGCUGCAUGGCUGUCGUCAGCUCGUGUUGUGAAAUGUUGGGUUAAGUCCCGCAACGAGCGCAACCCUUAUCCUUUGUUGCCAGCGAUUCGGUCGGGAACUCAAAGGAGACUGCCGGUGAUAAACCGGAGGAAGGUGGGGAUGACGUCAAGUCAUCAUGGCCCUUACGAGUAGGGCUACACACGUGCUACAAUGGCGCAUACAAAGAGAAGCGACCUCGCGAGAGCAAGCGGACCUCAUAAAGUGCGUCGUAGUCCGGAUCGGAGUCUGCAACUCGACUCCGUGAAGUCGGAAUCGCUAGUAAUCGUGGAUCAGAAUGCCACGGUGAAUACGUUCCCGGGCCUUGUACACACCGCCCGUCACACCAUGGGAGUGGGUUGCAAAAGAAGUAGGUAGCUUAACCUUCGGGAGGGCGCUUACCACUUUGUGAUUCAUGACUGGGGUGAAGUCGUAACAAGGUAGCCGUA
RNAcentral lists this ribosomal RNA (1507 nucleotides) under Pantoea ananatis. RNAcentral's name for it is "16S ribosomal RNA". It matches the Rfam family "Bacterial small subunit ribosomal RNA". The record is from RNAcentral. Lineage: Bacteria; Pseudomonadati; Pseudomonadota; Gammaproteobacteria; Enterobacterales; Erwiniaceae.